Molecule: RNA transcript, 2499 nt
Organism: Triticum urartu
Lineage: Eukaryota; Viridiplantae; Streptophyta; Magnoliopsida; Poales; Poaceae
Gene name: small nuclear ribonucleoprotein SmD1a
Source: RefSeq, a predicted model, not a curated record
CGGCCCAAGUGAACCGACUCACCAGCAACCAGCCAGGUCAGCCUUCAAACUAGGGUUUUGCCCUCCCGCUCCGAGAAAGCAAACAGCUCGAGCUCCUCCGAUUCCGUCCGCCUCCGUUCCUCCGCAUCUUCCCGGCCGCCGCCAAGAUGAAGCUCGUCAGGUUCUUGAUGAAGCUGAACAACGAGACGGUCACCAUCGAGCUCAAGAACGGCACUACCGUCCACGGCACCAUCACCGGUGUUGACAUAAGCAUGAAUACUCAUCUGAAGACCGUAAAGCUCACAAUGAAAGGGAAGAAUCCUGUAACCCUUGAUCACAUCAGCGUGAGAGGAAACAACAUUCGGUACUACAUCCUCCCUGAUAGCUUAAACCUGGAAACGUUGCUGGUUGAGGAUACUCCCAGGGUCAAGUCUAAGAAGCCAACUACAGGGAAGCCUAUGGGUCGGGGUCGUGGACGCGGCCGUGGGCGUGGCCGGGGCCGGGGGCGCUGAGCUUUAUUGUUCCCUGCUUUGGAAGCUCGUGCAGUGCAAGUCCCUACAGCGUAACCUGCUUCCUCUGCGAGCUAUGUCGAAGAAUGUUUCUGUUCUGUUAGAAGAUGUCAAUCUAAGCCUCCAGACUUUUGAAAUGCUAAGUGGCAUCAUGUGCUGUUACUUGUUACCCUGGAAUUCUUGCCCUUGUGCUUUUGCGUAGCAGUAAGUUGUGUUUGAGUAGAAGCUGACCCUUUUUCUUUUGUGGCAAUGCUUGAAAUUAAACUGGGAUGGGGGCACUGGUAUUGCAGAUUACAUAUUGACAUAUUCAUCUGAAACAUGCACCCGUCUACAAUUCUUGCCUGUAUGCUGCGAUGUUAGGCUUGAUCACUUUCUGUGAUUUGAUUUUCUGCCCGGUGUGGUUUUGCUUCCUAUGAGUUUGGAACUAAUGGAAUCUUCAUUUUUACUUGCAAUGCCCACUCAAAAUCCAAUUGGAUGGUGGGUGAUGUUGGUUCCACCUCCCUCUUUCACCGUAGGCUACGUUUGAUGGGUGGUCUUUUUUUAGAGCAUUUAUAUAUCCUGGAAUCUCUCCAUCUUGUUUGUUGAGACAAUUGUUUUACUGGAAUGUAACUCCAAAAGGCUUAGUAUAGUCAAGUAAGUUUUUGGAAUGUGUUCGCAAAAAAAAAGUUGGUAAAAGUUUCUGUAACCGGCCACAUUCCACAGCGGAAUCAGAUAUAACCUCUCGGUCGUGAUGUAUCCAUCGUUCAGGCAGUGCCGUGCUGAAUCAUGCAGCGAGCGUUAUGGGUGAUGCGUUUGAAGCGACAGGUUUGGCCGGCCGGCCGGCCCAUGGUGGUGUCAUGUCUGGGACAAAUGUUGGCCGGAGCAUUUGCCUCUGUCUCUUCACCGUCUUACGUUUCAGGAUCGGGACGAAUUAAAACCUCGACGGCGAUCAGUUUCUUAUAAGCUUUAUCAAAGUGUUAGAACAAAUUUCUGAUAAUAACCCCUCGCAUAAAUGCGCGUCCCAAUCGAAUUGAUUCCAUCCUGUCAAGCCCGUCGUCCGUCCAUCCAUCCAUGCCCUCCCAGUCCUAGUCUUCCUCCAUAUGCGUUGUCAAUGGAGGACACCCCCAACCCCAAUCAGCCAAGCCGCACGCAUUAUCCUCUUCCAUCUUCUAUCUAUCUAAAAGGCAAAAGACAAAUAUUCCGCAGCAAAAGAUGGAGGAAAAGCAGAGCCGAGCCGCCUGUUGCUCUCUGCAAAUUGAUUCCCCCCACAUGCCCCUCGAUGCCAAGAUGACACAUCACGGCAUCAAUAAUCCCGUCUUGUUAGACAUGUGUCUUGGGCCAGGCCACACGGGAUCGAGAUUCCGUGCAUGGCGGAAAGGCAACCCGGAGAGAGAUUUCCCGUCACCCGACCGUUCCACACAGUCUUAGCUUCCCUGGCAAGCGAUGCCCUGCACACCACCGUUGAAGCGAGAAAGAAGGGCGCUCGUUGGAGUGGUUACAUAGUUGUCCAGCUCCAUCAGUUUUGCUCUCUCUUUUCGAGUAAAGUGUAGCUGCCGGGUUAAAAUUUUCUCUGAUAAAAGGGCGUGCCCGCGCUGCUCCAGCCUGCCUGCCUGCAUGUUCCAAAACCCUCACGCCGCAGCACCGUCGCUCGCCUAGAGAGAGAGAGAGAGAGAGAGAUCAAGGUUUAUAUAGAGGAAGAAAAGAGAGGAGGGGGAGGAAGGAUGUGCUUCAAGUUGAACAGCAAGGAGAGGGUGGGGUGCUGCCUGCUGGUGCUGCUGUGCAGCGCGCUCCUCGUCGGCGUCCUCUUCGGGAUGGGCGUCUUCCGCCACGGCUACGACAAGCUCAGCGAGCUCGGCCGCAACCGCACCUGCUACGACUGCCACACCAACUAGCCACACCCUCGCCGGCUAGCGCGCCGUCGGCUUGCCGGCCUACUCAUGUGCAUCUAUGUAUGCAUGUAUGUAUGUAUAGCAAACUGUGCAGAAUUUUGUUGCUCUGGUACGCAGCCGAGGGUACGGACUGUUUUUGUGUU